This 409-nucleotide long non-coding RNA is filed under the name Lathyrus oleraceus (garden pea). RNAcentral describes it as "Pisum sativum (pea) long non-coding RNA (PSAT_LNC017701)". Lineage: Eukaryota; Viridiplantae; Streptophyta; Magnoliopsida; Fabales; Fabaceae. The record is from RNAcentral.
GGAGCAAUACAUUGUGCUGUGAUUCCUUCGUUAAUAAGACAUCUCUGUUUUCAAGGACCUAUAUAUUAUAUAUUUUAUAAAAUUUAAUAAUGAAAAAGUUAUGAAAAAUGAACUAGGUAAUAAAAUUGGAUGACUCAUUCCAUAAAUCCAAAAGAACGUGAGAAUGAUGAUGUGAAGGGGGCCAGACAACUUGACUUUGGUGACAAACUCUUAUGACUCUAUAGACUACUAAUCUUAACCUUAGAAAUUUUGGAUUGAGAAUAACACCUCAUUCUUUUAGUGUGCAUCAAGGUUAUUUCCAACCCUAAAAAUAAUUAUGUCAUCAAAGUUGAUUAGUCUGUGUCUUAUUUAGAAAAAGUUCGAACACACACUAUUUUUCAUUCUUUUGGUUGCAUCGAGGUUAUUUCCA